This 440-nucleotide ribosomal RNA is filed under the name uncultured Sphingomonas sp. RNAcentral describes it as "bacterial SSU rRNA". It matches the Rfam family "Bacterial small subunit ribosomal RNA", at positions 338 to 795 of the family's 1533-position model. Lineage: Bacteria; Pseudomonadati; Pseudomonadota; Alphaproteobacteria; Sphingomonadales; Sphingomonadaceae. The record is from RNAcentral.
CCUACGGGUGGCUGCAGUGGGGAAUAUUGGACAAUGGGCGAAAGCCUGAUCCAGCAAUGCCGCGUGAGUGAUGAAGGCCUUAGGGUUGUAAAGCUCUUUUACCCGGGAUGAUAAUGACAGUACCGGGAGAAUAAGCUCCGGCUAACUCCGUGCCAGCAGCCGCGGUAAUACGGAGGGAGCUAGCGUUGUUCGGAAUUACUGGGCGUAAAGCGCACGUAGGCGGCUUUGUAAGUCAGGGGUGAAAGCCUGGAGCUCAACUCCAGAACUGCCUUUGAGACUGCAUCGCUUGAAUCCGGGAGAGGUGAGUGGAAUUCCGAGUGUAGAGGUGAAAUUCGUAGAUAUUCGGAAGAACACCAGUGGCGAAGGCGGCUCACUGGACCGGUAUUGACGCUGAGGUGCGAAAGCGUGGGGAGCAAACAGGAUUAGAUACCCCAGUAGUC